UCAGGCAGGUUAUUUGCAAAUCUGUCUUUGGUGGCUGGAACAAUAGUUAUGCCCGGACGAUAACGCGAAGCCAUAUAGAAUGCAAGAUACAAGGAAAUGAUCCCUAUUCUUAUGCUCUGUUAUGGCAAUCAAUCAAUCAAUCAUACAAUCAAAUAAAAUUAACUCAGUCUGAUGCCUGUUUCACACUGCAAGCGUGAGCGGCACGUGAGCAUAACUAUAGCAUCACUGCAGCUGCAGAUGUGUCAGAGUAUUCACACUGGAAGCGUUUGUACAGCGUCACAGCAGUGGCUCCAAAUAAGCUCCAUUGAUCAUGUUCUCCAAUGAUCCCAUUCUCAUCCCCCCUGGAUACCUGCUGAGGACGAACCAACUAUUACCCAGAGCUAAGAACCCAAGAACUUUCUAUCUUCUCAUACUCCCCUGCCAUCUUGCUCUCACGUCAUUGUCAAUAAACCCUCUUGUUUGCAUCCAAACAUUGUAUCUCUGGCUUGUAGUGUGACAAUUACUGUUUUGAUGUAUCUUGUUUAGUAAGAAUAGGAAGCAUUCAUACAAAAUAUAAGGAACACCCAAACAAAAACAUACACGAAUAAAGUUCAAGGUCACAACACAUGAACACAAGGUCACACACACAUGAAAAAAAAAACAAACAAAAAAACAAGACAAGACCAAAAACAAAAUAAACAUAAGGCUAAUAAAUACACACAAGAGUAAUUGACAAACGAGGUAACAAGAUACACCUGGAGUGACAAUCAAGGAGGACAAAUCAACAAAAGCACAAGAAACUAAGCAACAUAAAAGUUUCCGCACAAAACAAAAGCACAAGAACAGGCACUGCAAACCAGAGAAACUCUACAAAUACAAUAUUACAAGUUCAAAUUAGAAUUUUCUUUUUACAAUACGAUAAAUAAGUAAUGAAACUUGAUAUGUGGUUGGGGGCGCUCCAGGACAAGUUUGAAAAGCACUGAUAUACAUUAUAACUGUAGUUGCCUUUUAGAUUGAAACGCACUGCUGAUGCUAUAGGGAAUGCCCUCAGUGUGACCAGUGUUUGAAGUACACAUCUUAAAUGUGACAAUCCUAUUAGCCAACGACAGUCCAUGACAUCAGUACUGUUGCAGCUGUGAGUAUAAGAUGGCAACAGGGUAGAACAUAUCAUCAGCUUAUUCAUCUUUAGGAGCCAUUUGUUUUUGUAGGUGCAAAAAAAAUAAAUAAAAAAAAUCGACCACUAUGGACAAACACCCAGCCAAACAUUUUAGGAUGUGUGUGUCUCCCUGUCAGAGGUUUCUGACACCUGAGGACUUGUGUGUUAUGUGUUUGAGUGAGGAGAAUGCGAGUUCAGUUCUUGAGGAAGCUGAAUGCGCACAUUUUGAAAAGUUCUCAAUGAAGAAGCUCAGUUUAUGCAUGUCCCUAUUUUUAAGGGAUGAGGGACAGGCAUCCAGGCCCCCAUGUCUUGGGACCUGCGAUGGACGAGGCAAAGUAGAAAAUGAGUUUGUGGGGAUCACACGUCAAGGGAGUGUUGCGUCUUACACCUCUUCUUCCCAAGUAAGGAAGCUGUCUGAUAUUAAGGGUUGUAAAGAUGUUUUUAAUGCACUUUUUAAAUGCUGGACCAAUGGCACAUAUCACUGAUUAUACGAUCUGCCUUCUGGGGCUUCAGCAUGGGACUUGUGACUAAGCACUGUAGCAUACUCUGGUAUUGUACAAUAAACAAGUUGAGGAUGUUCACUAGAAAUAGUGUUCCUCCUCAUUUAUAUUACUACUUUAACAGGUGCCAGAAAUCUAGCAGACUAGAUGAGCACACAAGGUUGAUGCUGCCGCCCCCAGGAAAUUGGGGUUCUCUAAGCAGAAUGACUCCCUUAUAGCUCUUUUAUAAAGGUCAGCAUUAUUGUG
This is a long non-coding RNA of Cyprinus carpio carpio, 1881 nucleotides long. The record is from Ensembl. Lineage: Eukaryota; Metazoa; Chordata; Actinopteri; Cypriniformes; Cyprinidae.